RNAcentral lists this long non-coding RNA (3196 nucleotides) under Zea mays. RNAcentral's name for it is "long non-coding RNA (ZMAY_LNC000661)". The record is from RNAcentral. Lineage: Eukaryota; Viridiplantae; Streptophyta; Magnoliopsida; Poales; Poaceae.
GACAUCGGAAGGCCUGUCAGGUAUGACACGAGCUCAAGGGACGGGAUCAGCAGGGCCAGGUCGUUCCUGAAGCACUACGCGAACCCUCUGGAAGACUGGGUCCAGUACUGGCCACUGCACCCUCCAUCAUACAGGUAAUUAACCUGCAAAAAAAAACAAACAAACUGCACAUUGUUAUGAAUAUAUACAUCACAAUUGUUUUUGCACCAGCUAUCCUAAUUAGCUAGCUCCGCCAUUCUUUUUCUUGUCUAAAAUGACUGGCAGGAAGAAAAUGGGGGAGUAUGCAGUUGAAAUACAGAGGGUGUCAAUGCAGCUCAUGGACGCUAUCCUGCAAGGUUUAGGGUUAAAGCCGCUGUACAUGCAAGAGAAACUUGACAAGGGAGUGCAGUUCCUGGCCCUGAACAGCUACCCACAGUUCUCACAUCGAGGUGACAAGGUCGGACUGGCUCCUCAUUCCGACUAUGGCUUCCUCACAAUCCUGAUGCAGAGCUCCCCGGGGCUGGAAGUGAUGCCCCAUGACCGUGACACCUGGACGCCCGUCCCCGCGAUCCCCGGGGCCCUCCAUGUCCAUGUUGGGGACCACCUAGAAGUCUUGAGCAACGGUCGUCUCAAGUCCCUUGUCCACCGAGCCAUUCUCAACCCUGAUGAAGCAAGAAUUUCCAUUGCCAGCAUCCAUGGUCUCUCCAAGGAUGAGAAGGUCUGCUGCGCCGAGGAGCUGGUCGACGAGGUGAACCCAGCAAUGUACAGGGAGAGCAGCUUCCAGGACUUCCUCGACUUCCUACCGUCAAAUAUCAACAACUACAAGAGGUUUGUUGAGAGCCUCAAGAUCGACAGAGCUUGAGAAGAAAAGCAUUGGUUCGGUUCCGCUGCACCAGAACAUAGCUAAAUGGCAUUCUUCAGAUACGAAUGGAAAGCCAGAUGAUACCAAAAAUAAUAAUAAAAGAUUGGAUGUCUUUCAAUUAAUAGGGUAUUGUGAUGAGAAGACGGGUCUAUAUGGCUUGCAGCAUUGCUACAUUGAAGAUACAGAUUCAUAUAGACAUAGCAAGCACAUUGGCGCUGCUAUGUGUAUUCUGCAGAGCAGGUCUGUCCAAGUGAUAUCGAUGUCUCUCUGCAAAUUAAAGAGUCUAGUUCUACAUCCUUAGUACUAAAAUGCUCAUUUAACUAUGUCCAAAUGGAGGAGAGCCGGCCGGCUAUGUACUGUUGCGUUGUACCAUAUGUGUAGCGUGUAUCUCUUGUUACUACUACUAGUCUACUACUGUAUCUGCAGUGUAUAUGCAGUCAAUAAUCGCUGCAGGUAAGGUAAGGUAAGGUAAUGUAUCAGUAGAGCUGCACCCGCACUCAGCCUGGCUGCAUCAAGCUGGACUGAGGUCCCUUUUUUUUCUCCUUUUCUUUCUUUGGGGAAAUGCAUUGUGGCUGCAUGUCUCUUUCACUAAAAGGAGGACCUGGGGAACCUUGCUAGGUUUUUCAGGUUGUUUGGUCCUACACUAUGUGUAUACCAAUCUUGUAUCAGCUACCCAAUAAAUAAAGUCUAAUAACUAUUGCAUGAGAUUUGCUGCCCACCAUAUGUCCAUAUCAUCAUAGCAUACAUUGGAAAGGUUUUUCAGUUAUCUGAAAAAAACAAAAGAGAAGUGUGUGGAGAUCCAUGAAAAGAUUGACCAGCAUGAUUGAGGACACGACCCGUUUAUGUAUGUGCUUGUGCUUGUGCUCGUGCAGUCGUGCUUGUGAGCUUGUCCUUACUGUCAGCGGUAUUGGCCGACAGAGCAAAAGUAGAUGUAAACCUGAGAAGAAGAAGAAGAAAAAAGAGGAGGUGGGCAAUGCAACGAGAAAGAGAAGUGCGAUGGUACACGGCACAUAUAUAAGGGUCAUUUUCAUGCAGUCCCUAUUAGCCAAUAAUUCAAGACGGAGAUGUCUGUUUCAGCUGCAGAAAUUCAACAAAAGCUGCUUGCAGCUACAGAGGGCAAAAAAAAAAGGAUCAGCAAAUGAUCAGAUCAUGAAGGCACAUGAAAGUUCAAAUUGAACUGCAACCAAAUCCAUAUGGCAUGACACAUCUUUUAUUGGUUGAAAAUGAGCAGAGGACUGACGAAGUGUCAAUUUUAUUUUAUUUUAGUCAGUUAUUUUAGUCUAGAAUGAGCUCCCCCACCUGAAUGUUGUGGUGUUUACCUUUGCUGAUUGCUAAGACUUGGGCCCUUGGGCAAGGCCCAAAAACUAAAAGAAGAAGAAGAAGAGUGUCUAUUUUAUUUUCCAGAUCCAGGAUGAGCCUGCCCAGCCUUCGUUGAAAGAGAUUAUCUGCUUGGAUCUGGAAGGACAGGGCUGGAAGGGAACCCAUUCUUCUUCAGUUUGACUUGACUGCGCGGAGCAUUUAUCCAUUGCAAAGUCACAUCUGACAUCUCAUGGUGGGAGGUAAGUAUGAUACACACCUAUAGUUGUUUCCUUUUUUACUUUCCCUUUUCCUAAAAUCCAAUGAUUAUAUUUUCAUAGGGUAUAUCUGCAAAUUUCUUAAUAACAUUAAUUUGCUGCUAGAAAAAAAAAGGAACAACAAAACAAUUUGAGUUUAAAAAACAGGAAGGUCAAUGUGAAAAGAAAAGACAAGGAGGUAGCACUCUUAGAACAAAAUUCGUUUGGGUACUCACAAAAUACAAAAACCAAACCAAACCAAUUCUCCUGUGACAAUGAAUGAAGAAUACAUUAAAAGGGGAAGAGGUUUCUUUUUAGCACACGCGGGACACGCACGCGCGUGUGGCGACGUGGCAGUCUGCAACUCGUCAGACGACCCCGCUAGUUCUGCAACUGCCAACGAGGUGAGGAGAAAGGUGGAUCGCACGAAAUACAAGCCAGAACCGGAACACUGAUUCCUCAGGAAACCCUAGGCCAAACCAAUCGCAAUUAACGAGAGCUCACGCCGGCACCGGCAUUACUGAGAAAAUGGAGAGGAGAACGAAGCAGCGGUCGAGCAAGCAGCAGGUGCGGAGGGGCGCUGAGCUGAGGCUGACUGACCAGUACGCGGAUGGGGGGUGCGGUGCAGGCUCGGACGACCAGCCGCAUCGGCGUCAUGUCCGCCGCGCCCGCUGCUCUGCUUCCUCCUCCUCUCCGCGCCCGGAGGGAUGGAUUGGAUAUGGGUCAGGCUCCCGCUCCGCGCCUCCGCCCCGCCCUUUUUAUAGGCGUCGUCUUGGCCCUUCCGGCGUCUCCGCUCUGGUAG